This 334-nucleotide ribosomal RNA is filed under the name uncultured eukaryote. Its description in RNAcentral is "partial 18S ribosomal RNA". It matches the Rfam family "Eukaryotic small subunit ribosomal RNA", at positions 1470 to 1796 of the family's 1831-position model. The record is from RNAcentral.
CCCUUAGAUGUCCGGGGCCGCACGCGCGCUACACUGAAGGAAUCAGCGUGGCUUUCUCCCUGACCCGAAAGGGUUGGGAAACCCGUUGAAUCUCCUUCGUGAUAGGGAUUGGGGCUUGAAAUUGUUCCCCAUGAACGAGGAAUUCCCAGUAAGCGCGAGUCACAAGCUCGCGUUGAUUACGUCCCUGCCCUUUGUACACACCGCCCGUCGCUACUACCGAUUGAACGGUUUAGUGAGGGCCUCGGAUUGGUCUCGGCCCGCUCUUUACCGGGCGGCGCCGUUGGUCGAGAAGACGCUCGAACUUGAUCGUUUAGAGGAAGUAAAAGUCGUAACA